UGGGUUACUCCAGGAAGGAUUUGUCGGAAUGGGAAAUUGGAUGAGGUUUUCUGUCCCACGGGGUUCGCCGGGUCCUCCUCCACCUUGUUCAGUUGUUCCGCCUCCGUCCGUUUUAUUUGGUUCGUCGUCCCCAGUUCCGCCGCGGCCUGAUUCGGUUGUUCUGCCGAUGCCUACCCCAAUAGUUCCGCCGCCUCUUUGUUCGAUUGUUCCGCCGCCUCCUUGUUCGAUUGUCUCGUUCAGUUGUUCUGGGGCCGGGUGGUGGAAGUCGGCAAGCAGAACAGGUAGGAACGCAGUAACCAAAUGCAAGUUUAUUUUGUUGGCAAAAAUAGCAGCUCGGGAAGCAGUGGCAACAGUGGAAUGGAUGGGGAGGAGGAUAUAUUGGGAAGCAAUCCAGAGGUGGUACAUGUUGGCAACAACUGCAGUUAGUUACGUACAUUUCCAACCUCCUCAUCUCUUCCCUCAUCGCAACCCAUCUCUCUUUCAC
RNAcentral lists this unclassified non-coding RNA (484 nucleotides) under Hevea brasiliensis (rubber tree). The record is from RNAcentral. Lineage: Eukaryota; Viridiplantae; Streptophyta; Magnoliopsida; Malpighiales; Euphorbiaceae.